AUAGCCUAACGGCUGAACCAGCAACUUGGAGGAAUGAAAAGCAAUAGCUGAUUGCAUUUAAUUUAAUGUAGUUACUACUUGGUAGUUUAAAUUUCUAGGUAGAAUUAUGAUGAUGACAUUAUCUAUCUAUUAGUCUUGACCAAAUUACGUGCCAGCUGUCGCGGUAAUACGUAGAAGACAAGUGUUAUUCAUCUUUAUUCGGUUUAAAGAGUACCAAGACGGUUAAUAAAGCCCAAAAUAAAUGAAUACGGGGGACACAUUAACUAGAGUUAUAUGAAAGGAAGCUAUAAGGUACUGUUGAGUGUAAAGAUGAAAUUUAAUCAUACCAGAUGAGUGGCACAGAUUUAUGCGAAGGCAUCUUCUUAUGUAAUAACUGACGUUGUAGGACGAAGGCUUAGUAAGUGAACAGGAUUUGGUACCCCAGUAAUCUAGGCAGAAAAUGAUGAAUGUCAUAGGUUGAAUACAGACAGGUUAAAUUGACUAUCUAAUAGUAAAUAGGUGGUAUUUUAAUCAGUCUAUUAUUGUGUCUAUAAAUGAAAGUGUAAGCAUUCCACCUCAAGAGUAAUUUGGCAACAUUGGAACUGAAAUCAUUAGACCGUUUCUGAAACCAGUAGUGAAGUAUGUUGUUUAAUUAGAUGAUACACAAAAACCUUACCACAAUUUGAAUAUAUAUAAAAUAUAUUUAAUUUGAAUAUAUAUAAAAUAUAUUUAAUUUGAAUAUAUAUAAAAUAUAUUUACAAGCGCUGCACGGCUGUCUACAGUUAAUGUCGUGAGACUUUGGUUAGCUCCAUUAAAUUGACGUAAACCCUAAUUUUAUUUAUAAAUAUAAUUAACAUUGCUAUAUUUGAUGUUUUAAGAGGGAACAUGACAAGUCAUCAUGGCCAAACUUAUAUA
RNAcentral lists this ribosomal RNA (894 nucleotides) under Sticta beauvoisii. Its description in RNAcentral is "mitochondrial SSU rRNA". It matches the Rfam family "Bacterial small subunit ribosomal RNA", at positions 371 to 1208 of the family's 1533-position model. Lineage: Eukaryota; Fungi; Ascomycota; Lecanoromycetes; Peltigerales; Lobariaceae. The record is from RNAcentral.